UUUAUGGCCCCAGCCAGUGUAUUAUUUCCACCGGGGCCAUAAAUAUGUGCGCGCACUCCGCUCGGGUGUAGUCGUUCCGUUUUAUAAGAAUCAGAAUUCCGUUUGCUAACGCUGCCUUGUCCCUUGCCUGACUGCAUACCCGUUCCUUCCAUCAGCCCAGAAGAGACAGCGAGGAUCAUCUGUGGCUUAAAAAAAACACACCAAAUCGCAAAAUUGGAAACGAAGUCGCAUCAGGAAAGAGAAGGAAACACAACAAAAGCACACUGCAAACGACUGCAUACGGAUACGGGACACACACACGAAGCGAUGGAUAAACUGUAUUCGAGUUGAUUUGAUUUGAUUUACUAAACUAAACCGCACUAAACCGUAAAAGCCAUUUGCGAUGGCAGAGAGAAUUAGUAAUCGUUAGACUGCACUAACCAGAUCGUCGCCCGUGCCGCUGCAAGCCAUUCUCGAUCCUUUGAGCUGUACGAGAUGCGAUCUUGAUGUCGAGAUUUUGCUCUCCUGCUUACGAUCACUCUCCGUGCGUGAUCGAUAUCGAGCAGUCUGUUUGUGCGCAUUUUUCAGUCUCUCUUGUGGCCCUCCAGCAUCCAGCAGAGGUUGAUCGAUCUCCAGAGAGGAGUCGAUCUUUGUUUUCGCAGCAAACUAGUGAGCUCUCUGUCUUGCGCAAGUCUCAUGAUCACUGGCUGCUCAUUCUCUUGCUCACUCGCACACACACGUUCCAUCGGAUCGAGCGCGAUCGUUCGAGUUUGGAUGUUAUUAAGGGGUUUAUAAACGAAUUAAAAGCCUUCUGCUCCGCGCUGGAGACCCCGAACGGCACUGGCCAAGCCCUGCAUACUCACACUCCUUGGGAUUGCACACGGUUAGGAACGGAAGGAGAAGGGGAGGGCAUUAAUUCCCGAUCCUUUGGUGCACGAGGACGGCGGCAAG
Molecule: long non-coding RNA, 930 nt
Organism: Anopheles arabiensis
Lineage: Eukaryota; Metazoa; Arthropoda; Insecta; Diptera; Culicidae
Exons: 3
Source: RefSeq, a predicted model, not a curated record